RNA transcript from Motacilla alba alba, 3515 nucleotides. It is a transcript of the gene named vegetative cell wall protein gp1-like, with no coding region annotated. NCBI's taxonomy places the organism in Eukaryota, Metazoa, Chordata, Aves, Passeriformes, Motacillidae. The transcript is spliced from 5 exons. The record is from RefSeq and is a predicted model, not a curated record.
AAAAAAACCAAACCACCGUACACCCUCAUAACAGCGACAACAGAAAAUAAAGCUCAAGCUGGAGUAUGGUCUUUUAUUUUAAAAAAUAUCCCAACAAAAAACAAACAACCAACUUCGUUCCCCAACUCUUCCCACCCCCUCCCUUGCAGAGUGAGAUUGUUUUGUCUGGAAAAAAAUCCAAAGUAUAACAAGGGGAGAACAGUUAGUGCUGAUUUUCAUUUGCAUAAAUUUUCAUAUAUUUUGGUGAAAAUAAUAGACUAGUGGAGAGCGGGGCUUAGUGGAGUCAGUGCAAAGGAAAAUCUUAACAUGGAUCGUUUCGCUGGAGUUGAGAACAUGCUUUUUCCCCCCUGUCACCUUAUUAAAAUCAAAAAUUAAAAAAAAAUUCUCUAAAUCCUGGGAGUUUGAUCGGCAUCUGCCCCUGAUUUUAAUCCAACGGAGCUGCUUUUGGAACUGGCGUGUCCGGCUUUGGUGUUUGCCUGCUGAGGAAGAGGCCCACUCUUUUCUCCAGUCUUGGUAUGUGGAUUUCUCUCUCUCCAAGUAAUUCCUUAGCAUACCCUUGAAUGGCAUCUACCACACUAGAUAACUUUUUCAACUCACAAGGCUGAAACAACUUCCCUUAACUGAAAUGACCCCAGCACAGCUAUUCACUAGAAGACAUCCUCCUUGAUUUCUUGGAGGGGCCCAUAAGAUGAUUGAAGUUGUCGACAUGGACAAAAACUAAUUUGGAGCUACCAGCAUCCCGAAAAAUGUCAUAAAGGGCAUUCAUCUGUACACCCUUCCUGAUGAAACAUGCUGGAGCCCCACAUUUACAUGCUGUUCAUCCAGGACCAAGUGUGCAUGCAGCACCUGAAUUUUGCCAUCUCCUGCAUACUGUACCUCUCACUUCCAUCCUUUUGCAAAUGAUGCGCUUGAUGGCUGCAGAGGGUGAGGAUCUUGCUCUUGUGUCAUGGCUUGGCAUUAUGCCUUCAUCAGGAUGUUAGAAAAGGCUCAGGGAAAAUGGUUACAGCUAUUCUAUCACCUGAGACACUUUCCAGCAGCUCCUGCCUUUCCUUAGAAUUACCAAUCCAAGUGGUGACCUUGCCUGACCCUACUUAUCUUGCAAAACCUGACAAGAUCACAGCCUGAAGCAGUAUAGCCACAGGCUCAAUACUGGCUACCAAAGUGUCUGUUUAGUAUUUUCAAGAAACAUUGUUCUAAAGAUUUACAAUACCAGCCACAAGAUAUAUGGACAACACCAACGCACAGCUCUGACCCCUGGACAUUCAGCCCCACUUACACAGAAACUUGUGUCUCUCAAGGGGUGAACACUGAGCUGCCACAAAUUAGUGAUUCCCUACGUGCAAGCAAGUGGAUUUUAAAUACAAUUUGAUUACAUAUACUAAGACAUUGGGUAAAAGUAUUUGUAAACUCUGGUCUUGAGCUCAGAAUUCAUGGUUAGUUUUUUUUAUCGGUUGCUUUAGCAGUGGAAAGGUCUCUGCCAUUUCUGUGUAAUAUAUGGAAUUUACUUUCAGUUCGGUGUAGAGAAUUUUCUUCCCUUCCCCAUGACCAAAGCAGUCUUUCAUUAGAAGGUAUUUUUAGAUGUACUGUAAGUUUCCUCCCCAGCAAAAAUUUUAGCUGCACCAAGUGAAAGCAAAUGCACAUUUCCUUAGAUAUCUCUAAGGAUAAACACAGGUUUAAAUAUACAAAAAAUUUUAAGGGUUUAGUUGCAUAUGGGUUCAUACACCGGAUGCAUUAAGUUCUUGCAAAGUUGUGUGGGCUUUUUUCCCCUCUUCUUUUUAGAACAGCAAAGACUUGGAACAGACAUUGAGGUCCUAUUGCUCCUGUCGGAAACUUCUGUUGACUGCAGCGUGAGUUGGAUGGGACCCAGAGAAACCAAAUACAGACAAGUAAUGAUGAGUUGGCCAUAUAAGCAAGGAAAAUCACAGAUAACAGGUGCACACCAAGUACCAAUGUAUCUUUUGGGUCAUCCAGUACAUCUUCCUGACACAAUGAAGUUGUUUCUUAUGGCAUUUUUUUGUGUUUUUUCAUGCCUAGAUUAAGUUUCCUAAGUGAUGCCAUAUCUCAAGGGAGAGGUUGUGUUGCCUAGAGUAUCCUGUUGUCAGGAGAUUUUUUCUGUUCUUAACGUCAUCAUAUUUCUUCUAUUUACGUCCCUUUGCAAAUUUCCUUCUUUCCCUUGUUUGAUCUCUUUUAACUAGUGUGAUGUUGUCUUUAGUUAGCAUUAAGGAAUCUCAUAGAUAUUUAGCUCACUUAAUCUUUCCUAAUGUAGCAGUCAGGCUUCUUGUUAUUCUUCAUUUCUUCUCAUCACACAACUGCCUGUCAGUAUCUUUUUUAGUUAUGAGAUUUUAAAGAUGUGGUGCAUUUCUCUGAUCUAACAACAGAUCUGGUGUAGAGCUGAGCACCCUUAGUGUCUUGUCGCUAAAAGCCCCUCCUGACAUGUCCAGGGGUAAACUGCAAGCAUUCUGAACAGGCACACAGAUAGAGUAUCCUGCUUGAACCACUUCCUUGGUUGCCUCUUUAUUGACCCACAAAACCCUAUUAAAACAGUAACCUAGGAAUUAAAAAAAAGUACAUGGCAUUUUGCCUUUUUAAAUUUUUUUUUUAAUUUCUCAUAAUGUAAAAAGGGAGAAUAAUACAGAUAAAAAAUCUUUGAUGCUGUUGAGAUUUUCUAACUCUUGGUCAUGAACAUAACAGAUUAACAUUAUGGAAAACAUCAUCUUCCAUGACUACUUCUGAGUACUAGGAGAGUACAUUGUAGAAAGUAAUUAUAUACGUAGUGACAAGCCUAGCUCUUCACUUCAGGCAGUAAGUUCUGAUCUACAAACUACAAUACUCCUUUUGUGCUAGAUGAGAUCUUGGUUGUAAUUGACUGUCUUUACCUUUGUGUUCUGUUGGAUUGGAGGAAUAUAAUUUUAAUCUACUCUCUUUAAAUUUCCAUUAAGGAAUGUUUCGGCUACCUGCAGCCUCAUCUGAUGAUGCUUAAUGAACUCAGCUAGCUCGAUCUUCUGUGCACCAGCAGGGACUUCUUUAAAUGGGUAAACUGUGUAGAAUGUUGUUUUCAAGUUUAACGUACUUGGAAUUAACCUUAUAAAAUAAUGGCAUAUCUAAAGACAGAUUAUAUACAUAGCACAGACAAGUAUGUGUGCAUUUAUAUGUGCAUGUGUGUGUAUACAUGUGAAUAUAUACAUAAGUGCACACAUAUGUACAGAAAUGCUGAUGUUUUUCACCUUUUUGAAAUCUUUACAGCUAGUAUUAACAUGAAUGUGCCGUUAAAUUUGGCACUGUUAUACAUUUUUGUUGGAGUUUACUUCUGUGAGAUAAAAUCAUAAAGAUAAGCUGUGAAACUCGUGCAGCUGAUGACAUAAUUCUAGAAUCUCGUGAUGCUGAAUCUCAUAUUUCUAUGAGUGUGGGAUGGAUGUUCCUUGCUGAAAUAAUUACACUGCCUAUUGCAAUAUAUGUUUCCUUGUUUUUAUGUGGGCACUGAGAUAUCCAAACUAUUAAACGUAUAUGUACAAUGA